GUAAACUGAGUAAACUGAUAUCAAGAGUGAUAAGUGAUGCUGCUCUGUUAAACUCAAUGUUAAAAUCUUUGUGCCACAUGGUGAAAAUAAAUCUAUAGAACAAAAGGUAAUGCAACAACAACACAGUACCUGUAUUAUUAAGGCUGUGUCUUUAAUUCAGUGUUUUCUACAUUAGCAUUUUUGAGGAUCACAUUCCUGUAAAGGCUGGAUUCUCUGCCUCAGUGCUGACAGGAGCUAAAGCUAACAGGACUCCUGCUGUCAGGCCCUCAUAUCUCACUGACUCACUGGAUUUGAAGAAAACUGCCUCCUGCUCUGAUGAAAAUCCUCUUAAAGAGCUGCUCUGAAUUUUACUGCAGAAUCGCUGUGUUUUACUCGCCUCAUACAGUCAGAAUACUAGUUGUACACUCAUAGUGUUUUGCCGUUUGCUUCAAACGUGCUUCUGAAAGAUGUGUUUUAGACUGACUUUAGGUUGGAUAUUUUUGUUGGACCUGGCAACCCUGCUUAAAGCUUUCCUCACCAUCAGUUUCAUUUCUGCUUCUCUCAGCUUGUCCAGAAAAGCAUGUGUAAAGUGUGUUCUUUAGGGCUAACUUAAAGCUUUUCUUACUUUGAGUGUCGCUUCUUUAUCUCUUUUAGCUUGUCCAAAAAAGCAUGUGUAGAGCAUGUAUCUUUAGAACUAACGCAAAGCUUCUCUCAUUUUAAAUGUUGCUUCCGUAUCCCUCAGCUUGUCCAGAAAAGCAUGUGUAAGGCAUGUCUUUUUAGGGUUAACUCAAAAGCUUUCCUCACUGUGUGUUUUUUUAUGGCUUCACCCAAAGAACCGUUUGAAGAAUCUGAUUUGUUGAAAGUGUAAUAUUGCUUUGUACAGAAAAAACAUUACAAUAUAAUCAUAUAAAAUAAUUAAUAAUUUCCUCAGCUGACAGUCUGCCACUCAAAAGAGCUUAAAAUCAGCUUUCCUGCAGCUGCAGACUCCUAAC
Molecule: long non-coding RNA, 971 nt
Filed under: Astyanax mexicanus (Mexican tetra)
Lineage: Eukaryota; Metazoa; Chordata; Actinopteri; Characiformes; Acestrorhamphidae
Description: lncRNA (ENSAMXG00005022353.1)
Source: RNAcentral